UGGGGAAUAUUGCACAAUGGGCGCAAGCCUGAUGCAGCCAUGCCGCGCGUGUGAAGAAGGCCUUCGGGUUGUAAAGCACUUUCAGCGAGGAGGAAGGGUAGUGUGUUAAUAGCACAUUGCAUUGACGUUACUCGCAGAAGAAGCACCGGCUAACUCCGUGCCAGCAGCCGCGGUAAUACGGAGGGUGCAAGCGUUAAUCGGAAUUACUGGGCGUAAAGCGCACGCAGGCGGUUUGUUAAGUCAGAUGUGAAAUCCCCGCGCUUAACGUGGGAACUGCAUUUGAAACUGGCAAGCUAGAGUCUUGUAGAGGGGGGUAGAAUUCCAGGUGUAGCGGUGAAAUGCGUAGAGAUCUGGAGGAAUACCGGUGGCGAAGGCGGCCCCCUGGACAAAGACUGACGCUCAGGUGCGAAAGCGUGGGGAGCAAACA
Molecule: ribosomal RNA, 427 nt
Filed under: uncultured bacterium
Lineage: Bacteria
Description: partial 16S ribosomal RNA
Rfam family: Bacterial small subunit ribosomal RNA
Source: RNAcentral